This 497-nucleotide ribosomal RNA is filed under the name uncultured bacterium. Its description in RNAcentral is "partial 16S ribosomal RNA". It matches the Rfam family "Bacterial small subunit ribosomal RNA", at positions 28 to 507 of the family's 1533-position model. The record is from RNAcentral.
GAUGAACGCUGGCGGCGUGCCUAAUACAUGCAAGUCGAGCGAACAGAUGAGGAGCUUGCUCCUCUGACGUUAGCGGCGGACGGGUGAGUAACACGUGGAUAACCUACCUAUAAGACUGGGAUAACUUCGGGAAACCGGAGCUAAUACCGGAUAAUAUAUUGAACCGCAUGGUUCAAUAGUGAAAGACGGUUUUGCUGUCACUUAUAGAUGGAUCCGCGCCGCAUUAGCUAGUUGGUAAGGUAACGGCUUACCAAGGCAACGAUGCGUAGCCGACCUGAGAGGGUGAUCGGCAACACUGGAACAGAGACACGGUCCAGACUACUAGGGGAGGAAGCAGUAGGAAAUCUUCAGCAAUAGGAGAAAGCCUGACGGAGAAACGCAGCGUGAGUGAUGAAGGUCUUAGGAUCGUAAAACUCUGUUAUUAGGGAAGAAAAAAUGUGUAAGUAACUAUACACGUCUUGACGGUACCUAAUCAGAAAGCCACGGCUAACUACGUG